CCCUUAGACGUUCGGGGCCGCACGCGCGCUACACUGACCAGUGCAACAAGCAUCCGUCCUUGGCCGACAGGCUCGGGCAAUCUUUGAACGCUGGUCGUGAUGGGGAUAGACUUUUGCAAUUUUUGGUCUUCAACGAGGAAUUCCUAGUAAACGCAAGUCAUCAACUUGCAUUGAUUACGUCCCUGCCCUUUGUACACACCGCCCGUCGCACCUACCGAUUGAAUGGUCCGGUGAAGCCUCCGGAUUGGCGCGCACCUCGGUGCCGCCGAGAAGUUGGCUAAACCUUACCAUUUAGAGGAAGGUGAAGUCGUAACA
Molecule: ribosomal RNA, 315 nt
Filed under: uncultured eukaryote
Lineage: Eukaryota
Description: partial 18S ribosomal RNA
Rfam family: Eukaryotic small subunit ribosomal RNA
Source: RNAcentral